UACGUAGGGGCCGAGCGUUGUCCGGAGUUACUGGGCGUAAAGCGCGCGCAGGCGGCGCAUCGCGCCCGGCGUGAAAGCCCCCGGCUCAACCGGGGAGGGUCGUCGGGGACGGGUGCGCUUGAGGACGGCAGGGGCAGGUGGAAUUCCCGGUGUAGUGGUGAAAUGCGUAGAUAUCUGGAGGAACACCGGUGGCGAAGGCGGCAUCCUGGACCAACACUGACACUGAGGAGCGAAAGCCAGGGGAGCAAACGGG
This 253-nucleotide ribosomal RNA is filed under the name uncultured bacterium. RNAcentral describes it as "partial 16S ribosomal RNA". It matches the Rfam family "Bacterial small subunit ribosomal RNA", at positions 524 to 776 of the family's 1533-position model. The record is from RNAcentral.